This 429-nucleotide ribosomal RNA is filed under the name Actinomycetes bacterium. RNAcentral's name for it is "Actinobacteria bacterium partial 16S ribosomal RNA". It matches the Rfam family "Bacterial small subunit ribosomal RNA", at positions 355 to 776 of the family's 1533-position model. Lineage: Bacteria; Bacillati; Actinomycetota; Actinomycetes. The record is from RNAcentral.
UAGGGAAUCUUCCGCAAUGGGCGAAAGCUUGACGGAGCAACGCCGCGUGAGUGAUGAAGGUCUUCGGAUAGUAAAACUCUGUUAUUAGGGAAGAACAAAUGUGUAAGUAACUAUGCACGUCUUGACGGUACCUAAUCAGAAAGCCACGGCUAACUACGUGCCAGCAGCCGCGGUAAUACGUAGGUGGCAAGCGUUAUCCGGAAUUAUUGGGCGUAAAGCGCGCGUAGGCGGUUUUUUAAGUCUGAUGUGAAAGCCCACGGCUCAACCGUGGAGGGUCAUUGGAAACUGGAAAACUUGAGUGCAGAAGAGGAAAGUGGAAUUCCAUGUGUAGCGGUGAAAUGCGCAGAGAUAUGGAGGAACACCAGUGGCGAAGGCGACUUUCUGGUCUGUAACUGACGCUGAUGUGCGAAAGCGUGGGGAUCAAACAGG